RNAcentral lists this ribosomal RNA (493 nucleotides) under uncultured bacterium. Its description in RNAcentral is "partial 16S ribosomal RNA". It matches the Rfam family "Bacterial small subunit ribosomal RNA", at positions 28 to 507 of the family's 1533-position model. The record is from RNAcentral.
GACGAACGCUGGCGGCGCGCUUAACACAUGCAAGUCGAACGGAAAGGCCUGCUUUCCCUUGUGGUUUGCGGGUACUCGAGUGGCGAACGGGUGAGUAACACGUGAGUGAUCUGCCCCCAACUUGGGUAUAAGCCUGGGAAACUGGGUCUAAUUCCCGAUAGGACUGCAGGGUGGUGCCUGUGGUGGAAAACGAUUUUCUAGUGGUUGGGAUGAGCUCGCGGCCUAUCAGCUUGUUGGUGGGGUAAUGGCCUACCAAGGCGGCGACGGGUAGCCGGCCUGAGAGGGUGGACGGCCACAUUGGGACUGAGAUACGGCCCAGACUCCUACGGGAGGCAGCAGUGGGGAAUAUUGCACAAUGGGCGGAAGCCUGAUGCAGCGACGCCGCGUGGGGGAUGACGGCCUUCGGGUUGUAAACUCCUUUCGACCGCGAGGAAGCCACCUGGUUGGAAGGGUGGUGACGGUAGUGGUAGAAGAAGCACCGGCUAACUACGUG